Molecule: ribosomal RNA, 429 nt
Filed under: Bacteroidota bacterium
Lineage: Bacteria; Pseudomonadati; Bacteroidota
Description: Bacteroidetes bacterium partial 16S ribosomal RNA
Rfam family: Bacterial small subunit ribosomal RNA
Source: RNAcentral
UAGGGAAUCUUCCGCAAUGGACGCAAGUCUGACGGAGCAACGCCGCGUGAGUGAAGAAGGUUUUCGUUUCGUAAAACUCUGUUGUUAGCGAAAAACAGCGCAUAGAGUAACUGUUAUGCGUGUGACGGUAUCUAACCAGAAAGCCACGGCUAACUACGUGCCAGCAUCCGCGGUAAUACGUAGGUGGCAAGCGUUGUCCGGAUUUAUUGGGCGUAAAGCGAGCGCAGGCGGUAAAUUAAGGCUGAUGUGAAAGCCCCCGGCUCAACCGGGGGGGGUCAUUGGAAACGGGUUGACUUGAGUGCAGAAGAGGAGAGUGGAAGUCCAUGUGGAGCGGUGAAAUGCGUAGAUAUAUGGGGGAACACCAGUGGCGAAGGCGACUCUCUGGUCUGUAACUGACGCUGAGGCUCGAAAGCGUGGGUAGCAAACAGG